This 119-nucleotide ribosomal RNA is filed under the name Triticum aestivum (bread wheat). RNAcentral also lists the same sequence under 1 other name. Lineage: Eukaryota; Viridiplantae; Streptophyta; Magnoliopsida; Poales; Poaceae. The record is from RNAcentral.
GGAUGCGAUCAUAGCAGCACUAAAGCACCGGAUCCCAACAGAACUCCGAAGUUAAGCGUGCUUGGGUGAGAGUAGUACUAGGAUGGGUGACCUCGUGGGAAGUCCUCGUGUUGCAUUCC